AACAACCUCACAGUUCAAAGAAUCACUUUAGAGUAGACGUCCCACCUCUGAGCUCUUCUAAAGAGCCACAGAAUCUCCACCCUUGCUGAUGACUGCUAUGUCCUCGAUGCCCUAAAGUGAAGCCGUGUACUUCCGCCUCGACCGUGCAUUACGCCGGCUUUGACACAUCUUGUUCUUCGGAGUGAGCUUGGGUCGGGCUGUUUGUGGUUUUGUCUUUGGUCCAGGGAGUGGUGAUGAUCUUUACCUUGUCUCGAUGUCUUGACUUCGGUCGGUCGGUCUUGGUGGGCGUCGAGGAGGUCUGAAAGGU
Molecule: small nucleolar RNA, 307 nt
Filed under: Aspergillus glaucus CBS 516.65
Lineage: Eukaryota; Fungi; Ascomycota; Eurotiomycetes; Eurotiales; Aspergillaceae
Description: Fungal small nucleolar RNA U3
Rfam family: Fungal small nucleolar RNA U3
About the family: Small nucleolar RNAs (snoRNAs) are involved in the processing and modification of rRNA in the nucleolus. There are two main classes of snoRNAs: the box C/D class, and the box H/ACA class.
Source: Rfam by way of RNAcentral